CUGCUGCAGCUGGGCUCCUGUGGCAUCAAGCUCGGCUUUGCUGGUGGGAGGGGUGCAAGUCACCUGAAACCUGGGCAUCAGCUGGGCAUCCGAGGGCAUCGGGAGAAUGCUAGAAGUCCGGUGCCCUUGAACACGGGGCCUUUGAGAGGACGCUGCGUUCACCACCUGUGUGUGCCACACACUGGGCCCCGCCUCAGAGCCAGAUGUCACGAUGAAGGCCUGGGAAGGCCCUGGAAGAUGUGUCCUGGGGACACGCCUCGGUGACUUCUCUGGAGAGCCACUCGCUGGCCCUUUGGAGCACCUCCUGCCCCUGCAGCCUUGCCGUUGACCUCCAGUGGCACGGUGCACACACCUGGCCCCAGUGACAAGGAGCCGGGUCUGGGUACCGUUUUCCCAAGGCCGGCCAGUGCCGGCGGGUUCCUGGAUCUCGCGCUGCUCCUGGAAGCAGCCAGGGGAGACCUGCUUUUGCUUCUUGCAGCCACUUGCUUCUGCUGGACCACAGCUGUUGCUGGGAUGACAGCUGCCGGCAGGCGAGGCCAGGCCUGAACCACAUCCAGGGGCAUCCAGGCAGAUUUCUGUUAAACAGAAAUCACCACGCAGGUCUCUUCCGUGCUGUCUGGCUGCUCUGUUACGAAUGUCACACACGCCUGUGUAACAUCCCGGACUUUCCAACCCCCAGGCUGACCGGUCCCUCCCUCCUGAGAGCCAGCAAGGCUUUCACUGUGGGUCUGCUCAUGGCCUGCCCUUGGGGGUCAGCUUGUUGGUCUGUAGCAUGGGAGCCAGGGCCAGGCUGAGCCGCGGAGCUGGGCAGAAGCCUGGGCACUGGCCACAUCCGCAGACCUUUCUGUCUGGAUAGAUGUGGCUGAGUCGUUCCAAGUCAUUUACCCCAUGAAGUAGAAUAUAGCUAAUGUGCUGUGUUUGUUUCUGUGUGUCCUGCUACAACCCUUGUGAGGUGUGCGUGUGCGUGUGUGAGCGUGUGUGUGUGUUGGGGUGGAACCUCACAUGCCAGGCAAGGGCUCCUCCCAGCCCGUGUUGGGUCUUACUUGGAGACAGGGUGUCCCUGAGUUCCUCAGGCUGGCCUGACUGGCCCCCCCUACCUACCCCUGACCAGUAGCUGUGAUUCAAUGGUGCCGCCUCAACCGGCCCCUUGUCCUGGUUUUUUUCUGCCUGUUGCCCGACCUGUGCACCUGUGGUUCUCUUCCUGCCUUGUAGAAAGUGAGGGGUUUUGUGAAGUUGAUUAGUGUCGUUUCAUUUAGGAUAAUGCUUGGAGCAGCUCCAAGAAGGUGGAGUGAGUUUUCUCCUGCAGAUGAG
Molecule: long non-coding RNA, 1311 nt
Filed under: Urocitellus parryii (Arctic ground squirrel)
Lineage: Eukaryota; Metazoa; Chordata; Mammalia; Rodentia; Sciuridae
Description: lncRNA (ENSUPAG00010011807.1)
Source: RNAcentral